RNAcentral lists this ribosomal RNA (623 nucleotides) under Leptolyngbya sp. C72. RNAcentral's name for it is "bacterial SSU rRNA". It matches the Rfam family "Bacterial small subunit ribosomal RNA", at positions 124 to 772 of the family's 1533-position model. The record is from RNAcentral. Lineage: Bacteria; Bacillati; Cyanobacteriota; Cyanophyceae; Leptolyngbyales; Leptolyngbyaceae.
AUCUGCCUUCGCAUAGUGGGAUCAGCGUGUGAGAGCGACUGCUAAUACCCCAUAUGUCUACGGAUAAAAUGGUUAAUUCCGCCUGAAGAUGAGCUCGCGUCGGAUUAGCUAGUUGGUGGGGUAAGAGCUUACCAAGGCGACGAUCCGUAGCUGGUCUGAGAGGAUGAUCAGCCACACUGGGACUGAGACACGGCCCAGACUCCUACGGGAGGCAGCAGUGGGGAAUUUUCCGCAAUGGGCGCAAGCCUGACGGAGCAACGCCGCGUGCGGGAGGACGGCCUGUGGGUUGUAAACCGCUUUUCUCAGGGAAGAAGAUCUGACGGUACCUGAGGAAUCAGCAUCGGCUAACUCCGUGCCAGCAGCCGCGGUAAUACGGAGGAUGCAAGCGUUAUCCGGAAUUAUUGGGCGUAAAGCGUCCGCAGGCGGUUCAUCAAGUCUGCUGUUAAAGGCCCGAGGCUUAACUUCGGUUGAGCAGUGGAAACUGAUGAAAUAAAGUGCGAUAGGGGUAGGGGGGAAUUCCCAGUGUAGCGGUGAAAUGCGUAGAUAUUGGGAAGAACACCAGUGGGCGAAGGCGCUCUACUGGGUCGCAACUCAUACUAUUGGACGAAAGCUAGGGGAGCGAA